This 465-nucleotide ribosomal RNA is filed under the name uncultured bacterium. RNAcentral's name for it is "partial 16S ribosomal RNA". It matches the Rfam family "Bacterial small subunit ribosomal RNA", at positions 338 to 795 of the family's 1533-position model. The record is from RNAcentral.
CCUACAGGUGGCAGCAGUAGGGAAUCUUGCGCAAUGGGCGAAAGCCUGACGCAGCGACGCCGCGUGAGGGAUGAAGGUCUUCGGAUCGUAAACCUCUGUCGGCAGGGAAGAACGGUCACUGUACUAAUCAGCAGUGAAUUGACGGUACCUGCAAAGGAAGCACCGGCUAACUCCGUGCCAGCAGCCGCGGUAAUACGGAGGGUGCGAGCGUUAAUCGGAAUUACUGGGCGUAAAGCGCUCGUAGGCGGUAUGUCAAGUCAAGGGUGAAAGCCCCGCGCUCAACGGGGGAACUGCAUUUGAAACUGGCAAACGUGAGUGUGUGAGAGGAGAGUGGAAUUCCAGGUGUAGGAGUGAAAUGCGUAGAUAUAUGGAGGAACAGCAGUGGCGAAGGCGACUAUCUGGCACAUAACUGACGCUGAGGAGCGAAAGCGUGGGUAGCAAACAGGAUUAGAUACCCGGGUAGUC